This 423-nucleotide ribosomal RNA is filed under the name uncultured prokaryote. RNAcentral's name for it is "bacterial SSU rRNA". It matches the Rfam family "Bacterial small subunit ribosomal RNA", at positions 355 to 774 of the family's 1533-position model. The record is from RNAcentral.
UGAGGAAUAUUGGUCAAUGGGCGAGAGCCUGAACCAGCCAUCCCGCGUGCAGGAAGAAGGCCCUAUGGGUUGUAAACUGCUUUUGUGCAUGAAGAACACCCCUGACGAGUUCGGGGGCUGACGGUAAUGCGUGAAUAAGCACCGGCUAACUCCGUGCCAGCAGCCGCGGUAAUACGGAGGGUGCAAGCGUUAUCCGGAUUUAUUGGGUUUAAAGGGUGCGUAGGCGGCCUUUUAAGUCAGUGGUGAAAACCUGCGGCUCAACCGUAGGCGUGCCAUUGAAACUGAAGGGCUUGAGUCACCAUGAGGCAGGCGGAAUGUGUAGUGUAGCGGUGAAAUGCUUAGAUAUUACACAGAACACCGAUUGCGUAGGCAGCUUGCUAAAGGUACACUGACGCUGAUGCACGAAAGCGUGGGGAUCGAACA